This 253-nucleotide unclassified non-coding RNA is filed under the name uncultured delta proteobacterium. RNAcentral's name for it is "contains 16S-23S intergenic spacer region". It matches the Rfam family "Bacterial small subunit ribosomal RNA", at positions 524 to 776 of the family's 1533-position model. The record is from RNAcentral. Lineage: Bacteria; Deltaproteobacteria.
UACGGAGGGUGCAAGCGUUGUUCGGAAUCAUUGGGCGUAAAGCGCGUGUAGGCGGCCAGGAAAGUCGGGCGUGAAAUCCCGGGGCUCAACCCCGGAACUGCUCUCGAAACUGCCUGGCUAGAGUCCCGGAGAGGAAGGCGGGAUUCCCGGUGUAGAGGUGAAAUUCGUAGAUAUCGGGAGGAACACCAGUGGCGAAGGCGGCCUUCUGGACGGUGACUGACGCUGAGACGCGAAAGCGUGGGGAGCAAACAGG